RNAcentral lists this ribosomal RNA (1387 nucleotides) under Chryseobacterium indologenes. RNAcentral's name for it is "bacterial SSU rRNA". It matches the Rfam family "Bacterial small subunit ribosomal RNA". Lineage: Bacteria; Pseudomonadati; Bacteroidota; Flavobacteriia; Flavobacteriales; Weeksellaceae. The record is from RNAcentral.
UGCAGCCGAGCGGUAGAGAUCUUUUCGGGAUCUUGAGAGCGGCGCACGGGUUGCGGAACACGUGUGCAACCUGCCUUUAUCUGGGGGAUAGCCUUUCGAAAGGAAGAUUAAUACCCCAUAAUAUUUAGAAUGGCAUCAUUUUAAAUUGAAAACUCCGGUGGAUAGAGAUGGGCACGCGCAAGAUUAGAUAGUUGGUGAGGUAACGGCUCACCAAGUCAGCGAUCUUUAGGGGGCCUGAGAGGGUGAUCCCCCACACUGGUACUGAGACACGGACCAGACUCCUACGGGAGGCAGCAGUGAGGAAUAUUGGACAAUGGGUGAGAGCCUGAUCCAGCCAUCCCGCGUGAAGGACGACGGCCCUAUGGGUUGUAAACUUCUUUUGUAUAGGGAUAAACCUAGAUACGUGUAUCUAGCUGAAGGUACUAUACGAAUAAGCACCGGCUAACUCCGUGCCAGCAGCCGCGGUAAUACGGAGGGUGCAAGCGUUAUCCGGAUUUAUUGGGUUUAAAGGGUCCGUAGGCUGAUGUGUAAGUCAGUGGUGAAAUCUCACAGCUUAACUGUGAAACUGCCAUUGAUACUGCAUGUCUUGAGUGUUGUUGAAGUAGCUGGAAUAAGUAGUGUAGCGGUGAAAUGCAUAGAUAUUACUUAGAACACCAAUUGCGAAGGCAGGUUACUAAGCAACAACUGACGCUGAUGGACGAAAGCGUGGGGAGCGAACAGGAUUAGAUACCCUGGUAGUCCACGCCGUAAACGAUGCUAACUCGUUUUUGGGAUGUAAGUUUCAGAGACUAAGCGAAAGUGAUAAGUUAGCCACCUGGGGAGUACGAACGCAAGUUUGAAACUCAAAGGAAUUGACGGGGGCCCGCACAAGCGGUGGAUUAUGUGGUUUAAUUCGAUGAUACGCGAGGAACCUUACCAAGGCUUAAAUGGGAAAUGACAGGUUUAGAAAUAGACUUUUCUUCGGACAUUUUUCAAGGUGCUGCAUGGUUGUCGUCAGCUCGUGCCGUGAGGUGUUAGGUUAAGUCCUGCAACGAGCGCAACCCCUGUCACUAGUUGCCAUCAUUAAGUUGGGGACUCUAGUGAGACUGCCUACGCAAGUAGAGAGGAAGGUGGGGAUGACGUCAAAUCAUCACGGCCCUUACGCCUUGGGCCACACACGUAAUACAAUGGCCGGUACAGAGGGCAGCUACACAGCGAUGUGAUGCAAAUCUCGAAAGCCGGUCUCAGUUCGGAUUGGAGUCUGCAACUCGACUCUAUGAAGCUGGAAUCGCUAGUAAUCGCGCAUCAGCCAUGGCGCGGUGAAUACGUUCCCGGGCCUUGUACACACCGCCCGUCAAGCCUUGGAAAGUCUGGGGUACCUGAUUGUCGGUGACCGUUACAGGAAGCU